GUGCCAGCAGCCGCGGUAAUACGUAGGGGGCUAGCGUUGUCCGGAUUUAUUGGGCGUAAAGAGCGUGUAGGCGGCCAGAUAGGUCUGCUGUGAAAACUCGAGGCUCAACCUCGAGCUGUCGGCGGAAACCAUUUGGCUAGAGUCCGGAAGAGGAAAGUGGAAUUCCUGGUGUAGCGGUGAAAUGCGCAGAUAUCAGGAAGAACACCCGUGGCGAAGGCGGCUUUCUGGGACGGUACUGACGCUGAGACGCGAAAGCGUGGGGAGCGAACAGGAUUAGAAACCCCAGUAGUCC
RNAcentral lists this ribosomal RNA (292 nucleotides) under uncultured bacterium. RNAcentral's name for it is "partial 16S ribosomal RNA". It matches the Rfam family "Bacterial small subunit ribosomal RNA", at positions 505 to 796 of the family's 1533-position model. The record is from RNAcentral.